UCCUCACUUCACAUUUGACCUCUCAUUUUUUCAUCAAAAAAGCUAUCUACCACUGUUUACAUUAUCAUUUUGUGUUGACGAUGAUGAAACAACUGUUGAGUUUAAUCUUGGGUUAAUUAAGACUAUAAAUGAUUUAAUUGCAGGAAUUGUGAUAUUAAACAAAGAUUAAACGAUUUGUUUUGUGUUGAUCUGAAUGGUUGUCUUUUUUUUUUGUUGUUGAAUCAGAUAUAAUUCUCAUCUUGAAGGUCUUAUGAGAAUGGCUGAUUUGGUAAUGACUGGGUCGGACCGGUGAAAUCCGUAUUCGAAUCGUUCAUCUUCCCUACCCAUUUCUCUGCUGCUGCAGACUGUUGUGUUGAAGGUAGUGGUGGCGGUGUUGGUGGAGCUGGGUGGUGGAGCUGGCAGCGGAGUGGGGCUGAUGGUAAUCAUCUUCUUUAACGGAUGUGUCCAAUGAAUGGUGGUGAUGUUCUUUUUAAUGCAUGCGACGAUGGUGACGGUGAUGGUGAUGCGCGGUGGUCCUGGUGGUGUACUGGCGGCGGCGGUGAUGGUGGUUGUGGUGGCGGCGGUGCUGGCCUAAGUGGAAUGAUAGUUGAUUAAGGAAUGAAUGUUGCAAUUUUGUAUGACGUAUUACGAUUGGUGGUGGUGCUUACGGUUGACAUGAUGAUGUUUCUCUUUGUAAACUCAGAUUUAGGCUUUUAUGGUGGUUGUUACGGUGGUGGUGAAGAAAUAAAUAAUGGUGUAUGAAUUUGUUGGUGGAGCUCCGGUUGUGCUGAUGUUGAACGACUGGUUGAUAAGGGUAUAAUUUGAUUUUGGCGGUGGUGUUGGUGGAGGGGUUGGUGGUGCUGGUUGGAGAAGGAAUUAAUCGAAUAAAGAGAAAGCACCCCGGAUAUUUGCGAAAUCAAUGUGCGGGCGAAAGAAAGGACGGAGGGGUUAUUUAGUCAUUUAACUGGAAAAGGGAGAAAAUUUUUGGACGGGAGAAAUCCAAUUCUUUUAUGAAAUUGAAAAGUAGAAAUUAACAUUUAAUUCCAAAUUAGCUGGGCUUUGGACGUCUUAGUCCAGCCUCCUCAAGCCUGUUACACGGAGAUUCAAAUAUCACAUUUUUAAAACGAGUUAAUCCUUUUUUAACGAUUCAGUCCAAAACCGCAUUUUUUUGAUAGCCAAAAUGCUCUUUUAUGUAAAAGUUAUUUUCAUUCUUGCGUUUCUCUGCUAGCAAAUCUUUGAAAGAAAGAUCAGAAGAUCUAGGGAUAAGUUGUUCAUCUCCUUUUAGCUCAAAUAUUCAAAAUAUUUCUGUACUCCAGUUGAAAUCAACCAUAUCUCGAGUUCUUCGCAGUUAAAAUCAAGUUCAUGACUUUGAUAUGGUCUUUGGUAGCAAGUAGGGUUUCAUUUUUCGUUUUUUCGUCAUCACAUCAUUCUUCUUUUGGUGAUAAUAAUUGGUGUUUCUUCGAUGAAUUUUAUAAUAUUCUCAAUUGUGCUCAUGGUAUUCGUCUAAGAUUUGGAUUUUUUUGGUUUGGUUCAUAUUCAUAUUUGAUUACAAACGAUAAAUGGUUCACGGUUCUCCAUCAAAUCACAACAAGUUUGUUCUUCUCAGAUCCAAUUCUGUUGAUACUACAACAUUGGUAUAAUCUCUUGUCAAUUUUUAAUUCCAAUUUACAUUUUUCGAAUCCUUCAAAUCUGUCUUCUACAAUCGGUCAAUGGAAACAUUGUGAGAAACCUUUUAUUCAUUAAUUAAAUUGAUUUACUGACUCCAUCAAUCAACUUCGAUCUCAGUUCAUCUUCAUUUUAUUUAAAUUCCAGAUCAUUUUCACUUGUAAAAUUCAAAUUCAUCUCCAAAUUUUUGUUAGUCAAUUUUACUUAUGCAUCUGCUAAUUGGUAUUAGUUAGAUGUUAUUUCUACCUACUGAUGAUGAAUAUUGAUUGUUACUAUACUAAUUACGUAUUUGCUUCUACUAAUUGGUAUUACACAAUUGUCAAGUUUCACAUUCAAGGCAUACUGAUGCCGGUCAAGAAAGCUAAAAAAAGGGAUCCAAAUUAGUGCAUAACAAUUGGUUGAGAAAAUAUUUCAAAGAAAGCUAAAGGAAUUUGUUGAUGCUUGAAUGGGUAUGUCAUAUUUGACAUCUGAGCAACAUGAACGAUGUGCUGGCAACCUCCUACCCAAGAAUUGAUUUGCUAAGAGUUUACAUGGAAAUGAAUGGAUUCUUCACCUCAUCUUUAUGAGGAUUUUAAUCUGGGCGACAAUUAUUGCAGCUAGGGAUUGGUAAAGAGAAAGCUGCAGGCAUUACUCAAGAUGUGCAACAGGCGACAUGGAAAAUCAUUGAUUUAUUUGUAUUUCAGGUGUAGGUAUGUCGAAUUAACUCUUUCGAUUUGACUAGGAUUAAGUUCAAUCUCGAAACCAAGUUGUUACAUGGGCUACUAAGAGUUUGAAAAUUGAAGUUAAAAUAAGCAAACCUCAGAUUUGGGACACUUUUGGUUAAGAAAGGUUAACUGCUAAACCAACCUCUAAAAAUCCGGCUAUUAAUCAACUAGAGCUUGGCGUGGUUGAUAGUUUUAUCAGCCUGUGUAGACUAGAGUGGCUGUUGACUACAAAGGAUGUUGGAUUUUUGCAGAUGUGUGCAUAGUUAUACAUUAGUGUAACUUAAAAAUUUUAAAACAUGGGAAUUAUAUAGUCAUAGGGGUACUCUUUUUGUAGUUCUCGGAAAGAACUUUCCGAAUAUAUAAAGUUUGCGAAUUUUGGACAAACGGUUCAAAAGAUAAAUUGUUUUUUAAUUUUUUUUUUUGUUAAUUAAA
Molecule: long non-coding RNA, 2780 nt
Organism: Papaver somniferum (opium poppy)
Lineage: Eukaryota; Viridiplantae; Streptophyta; Magnoliopsida; Ranunculales; Papaveraceae
Exons: 5
Source: RefSeq, a predicted model, not a curated record